Monodelphis domestica (gray short-tailed opossum) is the source of this 476-nucleotide non-coding RNA. Lineage: Eukaryota; Metazoa; Chordata; Mammalia; Didelphimorphia; Didelphidae. The record is from RefSeq and is a predicted model, not a curated record.
AAGGAGCAUGCGCAGGCAACUGGCUUCUCCACCGAGCAUGUGCGGGGUCGGAACUGAGCAUGCUCCGCCUGCUCCUGGCUUGAAUGUUGAUUGGUUGGAAGCUGAGAGAAAGCCACGUGAGGACGGAAUCUAAAUGGAAGUUGCCAACUGAGGACCUUUUCAGAAGCAGAAUGAAUGCAAGUGAUUCACCCUGUCAUUCCAAUAUCUUGAAAAAAAGAAAAAAGUGAAUAUACUUUCUGCAAUCAAAAAUGUCAAGGUACAAUGUUGUAAGGACAAAAGCUACAAAGGUCCAACCUAAUUCCUCACAGUAAAAGUGAUGUAUAACUAAAGGCAUUUUUCGGUUACGUUCCUAUUCUUCUAAAAGGAGAAAAAUAAGAGUGGGAAGAAAGUGAUCCAGUCUCAGCCAGCUAGCAUCCACACUGCAAGGAUAUCUGUCUAUAUUAUUCUAAAAUAAAAAUAAUAAUCUGAAGUAACUA